RNAcentral lists this ribosomal RNA (393 nucleotides) under uncultured bacterium. RNAcentral's name for it is "partial 16S ribosomal RNA". It matches the Rfam family "Bacterial small subunit ribosomal RNA", at positions 523 to 918 of the family's 1533-position model. The record is from RNAcentral.
AUACGGAGGAUGCGAGCGUUAUCCGGAUUUAUUGGGUUUAAAGGGAGCGUAGGUGGGAUAUUAAGUCAGCUGUGAAAGUUUGGGGCUCAACCUUAAAAUUGCAGUUGAUACUGGUUUCCUUGAGUACGGUACAGGUGGGCGGAAUUCGUGGUGUAGCGGUGAAAUGCUUAGAUAUCACGAAGAACUCCGAUCGCGAAGGCAGCUCACCGGGCCGGAACUGACACUGAUGCUCGAAAGUGCGGGUAUCAAACAGGAUUAGAUACCCUGGUAGUCCGCACAGUAAACGAUGAAUACUCGCUGUUUGCGAUACACGGUAAGCGGCCAAGCGAAAGCGUUAAGUAUUCCACCUGGGGAGUACGCCGGCAACGGUGAAACUUAAAGGAAUGGACGGGG